Maruca vitrata is the source of this 200-nucleotide non-coding RNA. The record is from Rfam. NCBI's taxonomy places the organism in Eukaryota, Metazoa, Arthropoda, Insecta, Lepidoptera, Crambidae.
CAUUUUAAGAGGCGUAUAUUAACAAAUAUACUACAGUCGGACGUUUGUGCCAACAUAUAUACUACACUGUACCAAAAAUAUACUACACUUGCUUCAAAAUAUACUACAACUCCGUUUCAAUAUAACGACACUUUCGUAAAACGGUCUAAAAAUAUGGAAGUAUAUGAGGUAAAUACACGUUUUAAAAACGCUACGAUUUU